UUAGGGAUGUAGCUCAGUGGUAGAGUGUUUACUUAGCAUGUACAAGACCCUGGGUUCAAUCCGCAGCACUGAAA
This 74-nucleotide transfer RNA is filed under the name Marmota monax (woodchuck). RNAcentral describes it as "tRNA.Ala". The record is from RNAcentral. Lineage: Eukaryota; Metazoa; Chordata; Mammalia; Rodentia; Sciuridae.